Molecule: ribosomal RNA, 793 nt
Filed under: uncultured archaeon
Lineage: Archaea
Description: bacterial SSU rRNA
Rfam family: Archaeal small subunit ribosomal RNA
Source: RNAcentral
ACUGCUCAGUAACACGUGGACAACCUGCCCUUAGGUUGGGUAUAAACCCGGGAAACUGGGUAUAAUACCCGAUAGGUCUCGAUUGCUGGAGUGCAUCGAGAUUUAAAGCUCCGGCGCCUAAGGAUGGGUCUGCGGCCUAUCAGGUAGUAGUGGGUGUAGCGUACCUACUAGCCUACGACGGGUACGGGUUGUGAGAGCAAGAGCCCGGAGAUGGAUUCUGAGACACGAAUCCAGGCCCUACGGGGUGCAGCAGGCGCGAAAACUUUACAAUGCUGGCAACAGCGAUAAGGGAACCUCGAGUGCCAGGUUACAAAUCUGGCUGUCAAGAUGCCUAAAAAGCAUUUCAUAGCAAGGGCCGGGCAAGACCGGUGCCAGCCGCCGCGGUAACACCGGCGGCUCGAGUGGUAACCGUUAUUAUUGGGUCUAAAGGGUCUGUAGCCGGCCGGAUAAGUCUCUUGAGAAAUCUGGCAGCUUAACUGUCAGGCUUUCAGGAGAUACUGUCUGGCUCGAGGCCGGGAGAGGUGAGAGGUACUUCAGGGGUAGGGGUGAAAUCUUGUAAUCCUUGAAGGACCACCAGUGGCGAAGGCGUCUCACCAGAACGGACCUGACGGCAAGGGACGAAAGCUAGGGGCACGAACCGGAUUAGAUACCCGGGUAGUCCUAGCCGUAAACGAUACUCGCUAGGUGUCGGCCACGGUGCGACCGUUGUCGGUGCCGUAGGGAAGCCGUGAAGCGAGCCACCUGGGAAGUACGGCCGCAAGGCUGAAACUUAAAGGAAUUGGCGGGGGAGCAC